CGGGGUGUAGCGCAGUCCGGUUAGCGCGCCACGUUCGGGACGUAGAGGCCGUGGAUUCGAAUCCCGCCACCCCGA
Molecule: transfer RNA, 75 nt
Filed under: Williamwhitmania taraxaci
Lineage: Bacteria; Pseudomonadati; Bacteroidota; Bacteroidia; Bacteroidales; Williamwhitmaniaceae
Rfam family: tRNA
About the family: Transfer RNA (tRNA) molecules are approximately 80 nucleotides in length. Their secondary structure includes four short double-helical elements and three loops (D, anti-codon, and T loops). Further hydrogen bonds mediate the characteristic L-shaped molecular structure. tRNAs have two regions of fundamental functional importance: the anti-codon, which is responsible for specific mRNA codon recognition, and the 3' end, to which the tRNAs corresponding amino acid is attached (by aminoacyl-tRNA synthetases). tRNAs cope with the degeneracy of the genetic code in two manners: having more than one tRNA (with a specific anti-codon) for a particular amino acid; and 'wobble' base-pairing, i.e. permitting non-standard base-pairing at the 3rd anti-codon position.
Source: Rfam by way of RNAcentral